RNAcentral lists this long non-coding RNA (236 nucleotides) under Taeniopygia guttata (zebra finch). RNAcentral describes it as "lncRNA (ENSTGUG00000025937.1)". Lineage: Eukaryota; Metazoa; Chordata; Aves; Passeriformes; Estrildidae. The record is from RNAcentral.
GCCCUGUGCUGCUCUUCUGGGAACAGCCAGAGAACAAAUCCUCCCCUCCACAUCCAUCUUCAGGUGCUGGGAGAUCUCUGGGAUUUAGCACUUCUCCCUAGUCCUGCUGAAGAGCCAGAACUUGCCUCUCAGCCAGAAUCCUGUAAAAAAGAUUAUUCUGUUCUGCCACUGAUGUAAAUUGGCAUCAUCAAUGCACCUGUUUGAAGAGAGAGGUUUCUAAUAGCAACCUAAUGAAG